Molecule: ribosomal RNA, 253 nt
Filed under: uncultured bacterium
Lineage: Bacteria
Description: partial 16S ribosomal RNA
Rfam family: Bacterial small subunit ribosomal RNA
Source: RNAcentral
UACGAAGGGGGCUAGCGUUGCUCGGAAUUACUGGGCGUAAAGCGCACGUAGGCGGAUUGUUAAGUCGGGGGUGAAAUCCUGGAGCUCAACUCCAGAACUGCCUUCGAUACUGGCGAUCUCGAGUUCGGGAGAGGUGAGUGGAAUUCCGAGUGUAGAGGUGAAAUUCGUAGAUAUUCGGAGGAACACCAGAAGCGAAGGCGGCUCACUGGCCCGAUACUGACGCUGAGGCGCGAAAGCGUGGGGAGCAAACAGG